CUCUUAUUUAAACCAAAUUGCAUUGCACUAAUCCCACAGCAUGCUCUUUGAGGACCCAGCUCUGAUAGGGCUUCUGAGGUGCCAGAAACCUCCAGCUGGAAUAUCCUGCCUUCAGGACACAUCAGACAUCUGGCUGUUCAUUAGUCCAAUGUUACAAGUCCUGCAGUCCACCUCCCACUCUAUCUGGCUCCCUGCUCUACCAGAGACAAAUCCACCAGAGCCAUAACAGAUGUGCUGCCGGGUCCCCAUCAGCAUCUGCACUGAGACCUACCACGGGACAAACCAAUGAUGAAAAAACCAAAGUCCAGAAAAUGAAAAUGGUCUCAGAGAGACUGGCCAAUCCUAUUUGGGGUCCUCUAGAAAAUUCUCCCAUCACUCUCUUCCCUGUCCUACCAUUUCCACAUAUUGAUCAUGACUUGGUGCUUCGUUUUUCUGCCCCUGCACUAGAACACAAACUCCACAAAGGCAAGGAGUUUAUCUUGUUCUUGAUGAAUCCCAGGCACUUAAGGAAGUAUUUGUUCGAUAAUUAGUUGUUGAGUGAGUGAAUAAAUGCACCUGUCCUAGCA
Molecule: non-coding RNA, 566 nt
Filed under: Pan troglodytes (chimpanzee)
Lineage: Eukaryota; Metazoa; Chordata; Mammalia; Primates; Hominidae
Source: RNAcentral